UUCCUUUCAAUUCUGGCACUUAAGGAGACGGGGCCUGAGGAGCAGAACCAGCAACACAGAGUCUUGUCGGCUUGUAGACAGAAGAGCCCAUCCAUUCGAGAGUGAAGUGCUGAGUUUCCAGUUCAGAUUGCAAAGUCCCUUGAGAAUUCAUAAAUCACUUUAAAUACAGUGACACUGCCUUGCAGCAGAUUGCAAAGUCGGGAAAAUCUGAGACUCUUAACGCUACUUACCAACAGCUCAAGGCUAUUGACGUCAAUAUGUUUGACAACAGCAAGGUCCAUCUUGAC
This is a non-coding RNA of Lepisosteus oculatus (spotted gar), 287 nucleotides long. NCBI's taxonomy places the organism in Eukaryota, Metazoa, Chordata, Actinopteri, Semionotiformes, Lepisosteidae. The record is from RefSeq and is a predicted model, not a curated record.